This 425-nucleotide ribosomal RNA is filed under the name uncultured bacterium. RNAcentral describes it as "partial 16S ribosomal RNA". It matches the Rfam family "Bacterial small subunit ribosomal RNA", at positions 354 to 796 of the family's 1533-position model. The record is from RNAcentral.
GUAGGGAAUCUUGCGCAAUGGGCGAAAGCCUGACGCAGCCAUGCCGCGUGAAUGAUGAAGGUCUUAGGAUUGUAAAAUUCUUUCACCGGUGAAGAUAAUGACUGUAGCCGGAGAAGAAGCCCCGGCUAACUUCGUGCCAGCAGCCGCGGUAAUACGAAGGGGGCUAGCGUUGCUCGGAUUUACUGGGCGUAAAGGGCGCGUAGGCGGACAUUUAAGUCAGGGGUGAAAUCCCGGGGCUCAACCUCGGAACUGCCUUUGAUACUGGGUGUCUUGAGUAUGAGAGAGGUGUGUGGAACUCCGAGUGUAGAGGUGAAAUUCGUAGAUAUUCGGAAGAACACCAGUGGCGAAGGCGACACACUGGCUCAUUACUGACGCUGAGGCGCGAAAGCGUGGGGAGCAAACAGGAUUAGAAACCCCGGUAGUCC